UUUUUCUAAAAAAAUUCGCUUUGCCUUCUCUCUAACUUUCUCUUCAUCUUCUUCACUACUUCAUCGUCUUCUUCUGCACUGCAUCUGCUUAGGUAAGUAAACCUAGCAGAGGUUGUUAUGGCAAGGAGGAGAGGUCGCCCAAGAAAAGAAUUAGUACCAAUUUAUGCGAGUGAUGUAGUUUUCCAGAAAGCUGUUACCACUGUACCGAUGGUAGGUACUACUGUUCCAUUAAAUCCUGCUGCGAUUACUGUUCCAUUACCUCAAGUAUCAACAGAUCCUAUGGUAGGUACUACUGUUCCAUUAAAUUCUGCUGCGAUUACUGUUCCAUUACCUCAAGUAUCAACAGAUCCGCAACUGGUAGGUACAACUGUUCCAUGAAAUCCUG
RNAcentral lists this long non-coding RNA (385 nucleotides) under Nicotiana benthamiana. RNAcentral describes it as "long non-coding RNA (NBEN_LNC021813)". The record is from RNAcentral. Lineage: Eukaryota; Viridiplantae; Streptophyta; Magnoliopsida; Solanales; Solanaceae.